AUUUUCCGCAAUGGGCGAAAGCCUGACGGAGCAACGCCGCGUGAGGGAUGAAGGCCUCUGGGCUGUAAACCUCUUUUAUCAAGGAAGAAGAUCUGACGGUACUUGAGGAAUAAGCCACGGCUAAUUCCGUGCCAGCAGCCGCGGUAAUACGGGAGUGGCAAGCGUUAUCCGGAAUUAUUGGGCGUAAAGCGUCCGCAGGCGGCCCUUAAAGUCUGCUGUUAAAAAGUGGAGCUUAACUCCAUCAUGGCAGUGGAAACUGUUGGGCUUGAGUAUGGUAGAGGCAGAGGGAAUUCCCGGUGUAGCGGUGAAAUGCGUAGAUAUCGGGAAGAACACCAGUGGCGAAGGCGCUCUGCUGGGCUUCAACUGACACUGAGAGACGAAAGCUAGGGUAGCGAAAGGGAUUAGAUACCCCUGUAGUC
RNAcentral lists this ribosomal RNA (419 nucleotides) under uncultured cyanobacterium. Its description in RNAcentral is "bacterial SSU rRNA". It matches the Rfam family "Bacterial small subunit ribosomal RNA", at positions 361 to 795 of the family's 1533-position model. Lineage: Bacteria; Bacillati; Cyanobacteriota. The record is from RNAcentral.